CAACUUUCGACAACGGAUCUCUUGGUUCUCCCAUCGAUGAAGAACGCAGCGAAACGCGAUAGGUAAUGUGAAUUGCAGAAUUCCGUGAAUCAUCGAAUCUUUGAACGCACCUUGCGCUCUAGGCAAUCCGUAGAGCAUGCCUGUUUGAGUGCCAU
Molecule: ribosomal RNA, 155 nt
Filed under: uncultured Malasseziales
Lineage: Eukaryota; Fungi; Basidiomycota; Malasseziomycetes; Malasseziales
Description: 5.8S ribosomal RNA
Rfam family: 5.8S ribosomal RNA
About the family: 5.8S ribosomal RNA (5.8S rRNA) is a component of the large subunit of the eukaryotic ribosome. It is transcribed by RNA polymerase I as part of the 45S precursor that also contains 18S and 28S rRNA.
Source: RNAcentral